CGGGCGUUCGACCGGUUGCACCGACCCUGACAAUUGCGGGUUGUCCGGGUUGUCACUGGUCCGGCUCGUGCGACCCGAACACGCUGGUCC
Molecule: transfer RNA, 90 nt
Filed under: Barrientosiimonas humi
Lineage: Bacteria; Bacillati; Actinomycetota; Actinomycetes; Micrococcales; Dermacoccaceae
Description: tRNA-Arg(gcg)
Source: RNAcentral